UAGGUGGGAGGCUAUGAAGCUGCCACGCCAGUGGUGGUGGAGCCGACCUUGAAAUACCACCCUUGCCUUGUUAAAAUUCUAACCUUGGUCCCUUGAUCGGGAUUGGGGACAGUGCCAGGUGGGUAGUUUAACUGGGGCGGUUGCCUCCUAAAAAGUAACGGAGGCGCCCAAUGGUUCCCUCAGCGCGGUCGGUAAUCGCGCGUAGAGUGUAAAGGCAUACAGGGAGCUUGACUGCG
This 236-nucleotide ribosomal RNA is filed under the name Helicotheca tamesis. RNAcentral's name for it is "partial Bacterial large subunit ribosomal RNA". It matches the Rfam family "Bacterial large subunit ribosomal RNA", at positions 2144 to 2377 of the family's 2925-position model. Lineage: Eukaryota; Bacillariophyta; Thalassiosirophyceae; Lithodesmiales; Lithodesmiaceae. The record is from RNAcentral.